CGUCUUCAGGGCAGGGUGAAAUUCCCGAUCGGCGGUAAAGUCCGCGAGCCGCAAGGCUGAUCCGGUGCAACUCCGGGACCGACAGUUACAGUCUGGAUGAAAGAAGAUG
Molecule: non-coding RNA, 109 nt
Filed under: human gut metagenome
Description: FMN riboswitch (RFN element)
Rfam family: FMN riboswitch aptamer (RFN element)
About the family: The RFN element is a highly conserved domain that is found frequently in the 5'-untranslated regions of prokaryotic mRNAs that encode for flavin mononucleotide (FMN) biosynthesis and transport proteins. This element is a metabolite-dependent riboswitch that directly binds FMN in the absence of proteins.
Source: RNAcentral